This 404-nucleotide long non-coding RNA is filed under the name Equus caballus (horse). RNAcentral's name for it is "lncRNA (ENSECAG00000049874.1)". The record is from RNAcentral. Lineage: Eukaryota; Metazoa; Chordata; Mammalia; Perissodactyla; Equidae.
GUCCUCCCCUGGCCUGUUAGCCCAGGGUCUGCCAUACUCAGUAGAGCACUGAUUUAAUCCAGCUCAGACAGGGAAGGCAGCCCACCCUAGGGACUGGCCCCACCCAAGAGCAAGCCCUCAGGUAACUUGUGGACCUGCAUAGGUGUGGUGCCUAGAACCUCUGCAGCCAGGUUGCUUUGUUGAAGAGCUAUUAGUGUGCUGAACCACAAGUCACUCACUGACAACAGUAAUCAGAGCGGAAUCAAGAAACACGAUGCCAGAUUGGGUCUCAGUCACACUGGUGCCUUAUUUCCCAAGCAUUGGACAAAGAAGAGAUAUUACUUCAAAGUGGAUAAAGAGAAAGACAUGGCCACAGAUGUGGGAAGCAGGAUACUGAAAAGUGCCAUCCAACAGGAGCAAUAAAA